RNAcentral lists this ribosomal RNA (260 nucleotides) under uncultured bacterium. Its description in RNAcentral is "partial 16S ribosomal RNA". It matches the Rfam family "Bacterial small subunit ribosomal RNA", at positions 793 to 1055 of the family's 1533-position model. The record is from RNAcentral.
GUCCACGCCGUAAACGAUGUCGACUAGCCGUUGGUCCCUUUAGGGAUUAGUGGCGCAGCUAACGCAUUAAGUCGACCGCCUGGGGAGUACGGCCGCAAGGUUAAACUCAAAUGAAUUGACGGGGCCCGCACAAGCGGUGGAGCAUGUGGUUUAAUUCGAUGCAACGCGAAGAACCUUACCUACCCUUGACAUCUGGAGAAUCCUUGAGAGAUCGAGGAGUGCCUUCGGGAGCUCCAAGACAGGUGCUGCAUGGCUGUCGU